UACGGAGGGUGCGAGCGUUAAUCGGAAUAACUGGGCGUAAAGCGCACGCAGGCGGGUUGUUAAGUCAGAUGUGAAAUCCCCGGGCUUAACCUGGGAACUGCAUUUGAGACUGGCAAGCUAGAGUCUUGUAGAGGGGGGUAGAAUUCCAGGUGUAGCGGUGAAAUGCGUAGAGAUCUGGAGGAAUACCGAUGGCGAAGGCGGCCCCCUGGACGAAGACUGACGCUCAGGUGCGAAAGCGUGGGGAGCAAACAGG
Molecule: ribosomal RNA, 253 nt
Filed under: uncultured bacterium
Lineage: Bacteria
Description: partial 16S ribosomal RNA
Rfam family: Bacterial small subunit ribosomal RNA
Source: RNAcentral